Molecule: long non-coding RNA, 357 nt
Filed under: Elaeis guineensis (African oil palm)
Lineage: Eukaryota; Viridiplantae; Streptophyta; Magnoliopsida; Arecales; Arecaceae
Description: long non-coding RNA (EGUI_LNC048467)
Source: RNAcentral
AUCCUUUUCUGGUUGAGGCAUGGAAUAGGAUGAGAGUUGGGGUUUUGUGUGACAAAAUAAAAAAGGGUGCGGUUUGUGCAUGCGUGAGGUUCCUAGGUGUGUUUUUUCCUUGUUGCCUCAACCCAUCUCAAUGCCUCCCUUCCUCCUUUCUUCACCUCCAUGCCCCAUGAUCUGAUCAGAUCAGAUCUGAGAGAGAGAAGAGAAGGAGAAGAAGAGUCUUUUUCCUCUUCUUAGUGGUCUAGUUCAAAUCUCAUCAGAUCUGCAUGAAAGAGUUCGCUCAGUAUUCAUCUUCUUUGAGUUCUAGAAGAGAAUCCAGAUCCAAAACUGAGGAGCGAGGCAUGCAAGAUGCUAGUACAC